AACGAACGCUGGCGGCAUGCCUAACACAUGCAAGUCGAACGAAGCCUUCGGGCUUAGUGGCGCACGGGUGCGUAACGCGUGGGAAUCUGCCCUUGGGUUCGGAAUAACAGUUAGAAAUGACUGCUAAUACCGGAUGAUGUCUUCGGACCAAAGAUUUAUCGCCCAAGGAUGAGCCCGCGUAGGAUUAGGUAGUUGGUGGGGUAAUGGCCCACCAAGCCGACGAUCCUUAGCUGGUCUGAGAGGAUGAUCAGGCACACUGGGACUGAGACACGGCCCAGACUCCUACGGAAGGCAGCAGUGGGGAAUAUUGGACAAUGGGCGAAAGCCUGAUCCAGCAAUGCCGCGUGAGUGAUGAAGGCCUUAGGGUUGUAAAGCUCUUUUACCAGGGAUGAUAAUGACGGUACCUGGAGAAUAAGCUCCGGCUAACUCCGUGCCAGCCGCCGCGGUAA
This 449-nucleotide ribosomal RNA is filed under the name uncultured bacterium. Its description in RNAcentral is "partial 16S ribosomal RNA". It matches the Rfam family "Bacterial small subunit ribosomal RNA", at positions 29 to 523 of the family's 1533-position model. The record is from RNAcentral.